Solanum dulcamara is the source of this 367-nucleotide long non-coding RNA. RefSeq lists it as uncharacterized. The record is from RefSeq and is a predicted model, not a curated record. The transcript is spliced from 3 exons. Lineage: Eukaryota; Viridiplantae; Streptophyta; Magnoliopsida; Solanales; Solanaceae.
AGUAGAUCAUUUUUUUCCAAGCUUAAUCAAGAAUGUGUAUGAAAACAAAUAUGGUUAUUAUACUGGUAUAGCUGCUAAGGUGAAUUUAAAUAUUUAUAGGCAGCAACGUGAUCAUGAAAUUUAGGAGAUCAAAGUGUAAUUUUCGUCAGGAACAACAUACGGUUUGGCGCCCCGCUUCAAUCUUGUUAUUCCAUUCCAUUGUGUUGUUGAUUCUGGGCUUUCUGCGAAGGGGAGUAAGGUGGAAGAAGAUUAAAUCUUGGCAUAUAAGGCUAAAAGGGUGACAAAGCGAAUGGGUUGCAAUUGAUCAUUGACAGGUGCCGAAGUUUGAUUUGCUGAUCCACCUGUUUAGGAUAUUUGCUGCGUCGUU